GAUGAAGAUAUUAAGGGCAUAUGGUGGAUGCCUUGGCACAGAAAGCCGAUGAAGGACGUGACUACCUGCGAUAAGCUGCGGUGAGGCGGAAAUAGCCUUCGACCCGCAGAUUUCCGAAUGGGUGAACCCGCUACGAGUCAUGUCGUAGCACUCCCGCCUGAAUAAAAUAGGGCGGGUAGAGACAACCCGGGGAACUGAAACAUCUAAGUACCCGGAGGAAAAGAAAUCAACCGAGAUCCCCCUAGUAGCGGCGAGCGAACGGGGGCCUAGCCUAAACCUGCGUAUGCGUUAAAGCAUUGAGGCGUUGCUGCGUUGGGUGUUGUAGGACCAGCUAUCGAUCGGACUCAAUUCCGGUCGGGUCAGUUACCAAAUGUCGUGGUAGGAAAAAGGCCUGGAAAGGCCUGCCAUAGAGGGUUAAAGCCCCGUAUCCGAAACCACGGCACCUGCCAAGCUGGCACCUGAGUAAUGCCGGACACGAGAAAUCCGGUAUGAAUCCGGGGAGACCACUCUCCAAGGCUAAAUACUCUUCUGUGACCGAUAGUGAACAAGUACCGUGAGGGAAAGGUGAAAAGCACCCCGUGAGGGGAGUGAAAUAGUACCUGAAACCAUAUGCCUACAAGCAGUCGGAGCCACUAGGGCCCUCUUUUGGGAAACCGUGGUGACGGCGUGCCUUUUGUAGAAUGAGCCUGCGAGUUACGGUAUGCGGCGAGGUUAAGUUUUAAAACGAGCCGUAGCGAAAGCGAGUCUUUAAACGGGCGUUUAGUCGUAUGCUGUAGACGCGAAGCCGAGUGAGCUAUCCAUGGCCAGGCUGAAGCGAGGGUAAGACCUCGUGGAGGGCCGAACCCACUUCUGUUGAAAAAGGAGGGGAUGAGCUGUGGAUAGGAGUGAAAGGCUAAUCAAACUCGGAGAUAUCUCGUUCUCCUCGAAAUAGCUUUAGGGCUAGCCUCAAUCGUUUAGUAUUGGUGGUAGAGCACUGGAAGGUCUAGGGGGUUUCACCGCCUACCGAAACUUACCAAACUCCGAAUGCCAAUACUCCAUAGAUUGGGAGUCAGAAUAUGUGGGCUAAGCUGUGUGUUCGAAAGGGAAACAGCCCAGACCGCCCGCUAAGGUCCCUAAAUCCAUGCUAAGUGGCAAAGGAUGUGCGUUUGCCUAGACAACCAGGAUGUUGGCUUAGAAGCAGCCAUUCAUUUAAAGAGUGCGUAACAGCUCACUGGUCAAGUG
RNAcentral lists this ribosomal RNA (1221 nucleotides) under Coriobacteriales bacterium. Its description in RNAcentral is "partial 23S ribosomal RNA". It matches the Rfam family "Bacterial large subunit ribosomal RNA", at positions 1 to 1155 of the family's 2925-position model. The record is from RNAcentral. Lineage: Bacteria; Bacillati; Actinomycetota; Coriobacteriia; Coriobacteriales.